AUUGAACGCUGGCGGAAUGCUUUACACAUGCAAGUCGAACGGCAGCACGGGUGCUUGCACCUGGUGGCGAGUGGCGAACGGGUGAGUAAUACAUCGGAACGUGCCAGUAAUGGGGGAUAACCAACCGAAAGGUUGGCUAAUACCGCAUACGCCCUGAGGGGGAAAGCGGGGGAUCGAAAGACCUCGCGUUAUUGGAGCGGCCGAUGGCGGAUUAGCUAGUUGGUAGGGUAAAGGCCUACCAAGGCGACGAUCCGUAGCGGGUCUGAGAGGACGCCCGGCCACACUGGAAAUGAGACACGGUCCAGGCUCCUGCGGGAGGCAGCAGUGGGGAAUUUUGGACAAAGGGGGAAACCCUGAUCCCGCCAUUCCGCGUGAGUGAAGGAGGCCUUCGGGUUGUAAAGCUCUUUCGGCAGGAACGAAACGGCCAAGGAUAAUACCUUUGGUCAAUGACGGUACCUGAAGAAGAAGCACCGGCUAACUACGUGCCAGCCGCCGCGGUAA
RNAcentral lists this ribosomal RNA (501 nucleotides) under uncultured bacterium. RNAcentral describes it as "partial 16S ribosomal RNA". It matches the Rfam family "Bacterial small subunit ribosomal RNA", at positions 29 to 523 of the family's 1533-position model. The record is from RNAcentral.